AGAUCAUUCCUGCCAGCCACGGUGGGAGGAAGAGACCAACAGUCCCCAGCAAACACACAAUGAUGAACAUCCAGAGGAAGAUCCUGUCGAUGACCAUUGCGACGUACUUCCAGUCUUCCUUCACCUGGGAACACAGAGGUACAGUGGCAACUUCAGAUCCUAAAACGUUUGUCAAGCACCAAACACGCUUUGAGCACAGCACAGCGACUCUGAAAACUCACCCUGAGUCUUCUCUUUCUUCAUCAGUCACGGAUGCACAACUAGAUUUUAUUUGAUACCUUGUGGGUGGUACAGAGAAAUCACGGUGUAUCAGAGGGAGAGAAUGUACAAUCCUGGCUUCUGUGACCAGUGCUGUGAUAUUUUAUUGAGCUAAGAGGAGAAUUCCUUGCAGACGACAUUCAGCUGAAGCAAUGCCAGCAAAGUGAGCUCUUCAACUACACCCUCAUUAUUUGCCUUGUGGACUGCUUGGUUCAGCCUUUAAAUCACUGAUAUUACUCCAGCUCUUUGGCUCAAUAAGCAGCUUUGUAAAAUGAGAAACAAGGCAUAUGCUGCAGAAUGUGUAUUUUCCCAAUAAUUUGUUGUCUGAGCAAAGAAUCUUAAAUUUCAGGAGCACCUGGGCAUUUUCAAAAGUGUAAAAAUCAGUUAAAUAUUUUAGUGCAAUGGAUAAUUUUAUUCCUUUUAAAUAUAGCAUCAAGUUAAGCAGGUUGUUACUAUCCAAUAGCCAAAACAAAACAAAAAAAUAAAGGUUCAUCCUGAAGGUUGUUGCCUUCUUGGGAGAAACCUUGUAAUUCUGUGAUUGUACAUCCAACUAUAGUUAGGAUGAAUAAAAGAAAUAGCGACCCUGGAAAUCGCAAGGAAUUCUCUCAUCCCGAGGGUCAGGUCUCGGUGGAUAACUCCCCUUUGCUGUACGUAUUUUCUAUCUAUUCAUCACUUGCUGAGAGUUGGAGUGAGUCCCUGAUGCUUAAAAUUCCUGGUGAGAAAGGCAAGAUCUGGAUGACUGCAUUUGUAAGAUUAAUGUAAAGAAAGUCUGAAAUAUAGCACCUGAUCUCCAACAGGAAAUCUGGAUUGGCCAAAUAAGUUUUUUUGAGUAUUUGUGCUGGUAUAAGUAAGUGCUGGAUCACAAGAAGUAAUUAAAUGAACUAGAUGAGUUUCUCUUUGAGAAAAGAAGGGGGAACGGGAGAAGAAGAACAACUUGGACAGUUCAACAGAAAUUUGCUUUUGAAUGUAAUGAUGUAUGCAUAAAAACUCAGCCCAUCUUGAAAAUGAUGGCUGGGAGUGCAUCAGAUGUUUGCAAAAUCAAUAUCCAGCUUCAGACUGAGAGCAGGGAAGGGUGAAAUUGGAAAUUAUGGAGCAACAAUGAAAAAAAAAGCAGGAGGAAAUGAAAAUUAUCUAGAUUUUUUUUAUUUCUUCCUGACAGUGCUGUAACAUUUCCCUGUGGUCCAGCACCUCACGUGGAGCGUCAUCUGCAGAGGCCUCUCUGACAACAUCUCUGCAGCUGUCAACAUCUGCCACCCCAACUUCUGAGCUGUAUUUUGAUUAGUUUUUAAGCUCAUUCAAAACUAUUUUCGGGAGAGGAUCAGAGACAGGAGCCAUCUGACUCCCCCACCCCCAAAUUCCUGAAAAAUAAGGGAAUCUGCUGCUAUUCCCUGGCCCAGCUUUGUGCAGGUCUGAGCAUGGGGACAGAGCAGUCCCGGGUGGUUUUACUGUACUUUGUUAAAAAUAAACGGGUGAGAUUAUCCCAUGUUUCCUCCUGCUCAGCUCUAUUCUCUCCUGGUUUAUUUUUAAGCUGUCUUAAAAUUCUUUUUAUCAGAGCAGGCUGGAGAUGUGCACAGGCAUGAGGACAAAAAGGUUUUCCACUCGGUGCUGUUGGGGUCUGGUAGUUGGGCUUGUGUGUGACAUGCACCUUGUUUUAAUUAAUUAAUUAAUUUCUAACAGCAUUUCUAUCAUAUGCUGGGACAAUUUGGUCUUGCCUUUUCCCCUGUGUACCAUGGUGCUUGUACUGUUCGCAGAUUAUUUUCUUUUUUUUUUUUUU
This is a long non-coding RNA of Columba livia (rock pigeon), 2032 nucleotides long. RefSeq lists it as uncharacterized. NCBI's taxonomy places the organism in Eukaryota, Metazoa, Chordata, Aves, Columbiformes, Columbidae. The transcript is spliced from 3 exons. The record is from RefSeq and is a predicted model, not a curated record.